This 468-nucleotide ribosomal RNA is filed under the name uncultured bacterium. RNAcentral describes it as "partial 16S ribosomal RNA". It matches the Rfam family "Bacterial small subunit ribosomal RNA", at positions 28 to 507 of the family's 1533-position model. The record is from RNAcentral.
GACGAACGCUGGCGGCGUGCUUAACACAUGCAAGUCGAACGGAAAGGCCCUGCUUUUGCGGGGUGCUCGAGUGGCGAACGGGUGAGUAACCCGUGAGUCACCUGCCCUUGACUUUGUGAUAACUUCAGGAAACUGGGGCUAAUACCGGAUAGGAGCUCCUGCUGCAUGGUGGGGGUUGGAAAGUUUCGGCGGUUGGGGAUGGACUCGCGGCUUACUAGCUUGUUGGUGGGUUAGUGGCUUACCCAGGCUUCGACGGGUAGCCGGCAUGAGAGGGUGACCGGCCUCAUUGCGACUGAGAUACGGACCAGACUCCUACGGGAGGCAGCAGUGGAGAAUAUUGCACAAUGGGCGGAAGCCUGAUGCAGCAACGCCGCGUGCGGGAUGACGGCCUUCGGGUUGUAAACCGCUUUCACCUGUGACGAAGCGUGAGUGACGGUAAUAGGUAAAGAAGCACCGGCUAACUACGUG